UACGAAGGGGGCUAGCGUUGCUCGGAAUUACUGGGCGUAAAGGGCGCGUAGGCGGACAGUUUAGUCAGUGGUGAAAGCCCAGGGCUCAACCUUGGAAUUGCCAUUGAUACUGAUUGUCUUGAGUAUGGGAGAGGUGUGCGGAACUCCGAGUGUAGAGGUGAAAUUCGUAGAUAUUCGGAAGAACACCAGUGGCGAAGGCGGCACACUGGCCCAUUACUGACGCUGAGGCUCGAAAGCGUGGGGAGCAAACAGG
This 253-nucleotide ribosomal RNA is filed under the name uncultured bacterium. RNAcentral's name for it is "partial 16S ribosomal RNA". It matches the Rfam family "Bacterial small subunit ribosomal RNA", at positions 524 to 776 of the family's 1533-position model. The record is from RNAcentral.